This 1538-nucleotide unclassified non-coding RNA is filed under the name Hevea brasiliensis (rubber tree). Lineage: Eukaryota; Viridiplantae; Streptophyta; Magnoliopsida; Malpighiales; Euphorbiaceae. The record is from RNAcentral.
GGGAGGGGGAGAUUGAAAGGGAUUUGUGGUCUCUUUUCUCUCCCUCUUGCGCACCAAAUUCAGCCAUCAGUAUCUCUCCAAGGUUUUGGUAUCGUGGUGUGUCCAGUUCAAUGGGCGCCGGCGGGAGGAUGACGGCGAAGGAGCAAGCUGCGCAUGAGGCUGCAGCGGCGGCCGGAGGCCGAGUCGAUCCCCUGCAGCGCGUCCCCGCCGAUAAGCCGCCGUUCACGCUGAGCCAGCUCAAGAAAGCCAUCCCUCCCCAUUGCUUCCAGCGCUCGGCACUCAAGUCGUUCUCUUAUGUCGUGCAUGACCUCGCCAUCGCUUCCCUCUUCUUCUACCUCGCCAUCGUCUACCUCCCCUCCUUCCCGGCUACCCUCCGGCUCGCCGCCUGGCCGCUCUACUGGGUGGCACAAGGAUGUGUUCUCACUGGUGUGUGGGUCAUCGCUCAUGAGUGCGGCCACCAUGCCUUUUCCGACUGGUCACUACUUGACGAUGCCGUCGGACUUGUCCUCCACUCGUUCCUCCUUGUUCCAUACUUCUCAUGGAAGUACAGCCACCGCCGCCACCACUCGAACACCGGAUCACUUGAUCGCGACGAGGUCUUCGUCCCCAAACCUCGUGCUGCCCUUCCAUGGUUCUCCACCUACCUAAACAAUCCGGUCGGUCGUGUCAUUAGUCUCACCGUCACCCUCACCCUCGGCUGGCCUCUGUAUCUUGCAUUCAACGUAUCCGGCCGCCCAUACCCCCGCUUCGCCUGCCACUACGACCCAUACGGCCCGAUCUACUCUGAGCGCGAGCGUGCACAGAUCUUUAUUUCCGACGCCGGUGUCAUUUCAAUGUGCUUCCUUCUCUACAAGGCGGCUGUGUUGCAUGGUUUCCAAUGGGUGGCAUGUGUGUAUGGAGUCCCUCUAUUGAUUGUCAAUGGCUUUUUGGUGCUGAUCACUUUUCUGCAACACACUCAUCCAUCUCUGCCGCAUUAUGACUCCAACGAGUGGGACUGGCUCCGAGGGGCACUUGCGACGGUGGACCGUGACUAUGGUUUUCUCAACAAGGUGUUCCAUCAUAUUACCGACACCCAUGUCGCGCACCACCUCUUCUCAACGAUGCCGCAUUACAAUGCAGAGGAGGCGACACGGGCUAUUCGGCCGUUGCUUGGGAAGUACUACCAGUUCGACAGCACGCCGGUGGUGAAGUCGAUGUGGAGGGAGGCGAGGGAGUGUGUCUUCGUCGAGCCUGAUGUUGGUGACGGCAAGCCGAAGGGCGUGUUCUGGUAUAGCAAUAAAAUCUGAAAGUGAGGGACCGGUCGAAUGCAAGUAUCGUGGUAUGGUCCCUAGUAGUACUGCUUUUUCGUGUUAGUGCUCGCCUUCAUUUUCAGUCUCUUUGGAGCUUUCUCUCUGUCUCUUCUCCUCGUCAGUUUGCUCUAGUUCUGUUAUGUUCGUCUAAGUAAUAACAGAUAAUUAAAGGAUGUUGGAGUUUAAUGUUACUUAUUUAGUGCCAACAAAGUUAUGUGUUUUAUUUUACUUGUUUCUAUUACAGUGAGC